Phragmites australis (common reed) is the source of this 323-nucleotide long non-coding RNA. RefSeq lists it as uncharacterized. The record is from RefSeq and is a predicted model, not a curated record. The transcript has 2 exons. Lineage: Eukaryota; Viridiplantae; Streptophyta; Magnoliopsida; Poales; Poaceae.
CAAAGGUAGUUAUUAUGAAAGGAUGCAACAGAUUAUGCAGAUUGAGAAAGAUAUACAUGUUGAGUUCUUGAGACAGUAUAAUAGAGAACAAGGUACUUGAAGUCGCCGUGUAGAUUCUGUUUCGGACCGAGAAAGCAAAUACUUCAGUUUCGGAGCUUCUAGAAGAUUUACAGGGUAGAAGUGGCUCUUCUGUCAAGACACCAUCUUCGUUGUGUGUCCUCUCAUGUUGUUUCAUUAUUUGGAGUUCUUAUACAACAAAUUACCUCGCCUCUGAAUAUUUAAAAGCAGCUGCACAUAAAAUAAACACAUACCGAGCUUGUGUA